This 325-nucleotide small RNA is filed under the name Pongo abelii (Sumatran orangutan). RNAcentral's name for it is "sense intronic". Lineage: Eukaryota; Metazoa; Chordata; Mammalia; Primates; Hominidae. The record is from RNAcentral.
UUUCCUUUUAUUUUUAGAAAUAAUCUAUUCAGUUGUUAAAAUUCCUUAUUCCGGGCUGGGUACGGUGGCUCACACCUGUAACCCCAACAAUUUGGGAGGCCAGCGCAGGUGGAGGUUGCAGUGAACCGAGAUCGCACCAUUGCACUCCAGCCUGGGCGCCAAGAGAAACUCCAGCUCAAAAAAAAAGAAAAAAAGGUUGGGCUAUUUCAACAUCAGGGUCCCAUUUAAUACCCUCUUAAAACAUCAGCUUUCCUUCCAGAGACUGACCAUUGAGAAAGCAGUACUGCUGACAUAGAUCCUGCCUACUUAUAAAUCAUAAUGGUUG